Herpailurus yagouaroundi (jaguarundi) is the source of this 1933-nucleotide long non-coding RNA. RefSeq lists it as uncharacterized. The transcript is spliced from 2 exons. NCBI's taxonomy places the organism in Eukaryota, Metazoa, Chordata, Mammalia, Carnivora, Felidae. The record is from RefSeq and is a predicted model, not a curated record.
CCCGGACGCUCCCUCCCGAUCGUGCGGCUCGAGCCGCCGCACCCCCUCCCUUUCCGUUGUGCUGCAGUGUCUGCGCCUGGCUGCCUAAAAGGGCUGCGUCCCGCGCGCGCGUUGUACAUGUACGGACUUGUCAGCACUGGGUGACCUCCCUUCCCUUCUCCCUCCCCCGGCGGAAUCCAGGAUUAAGAGCCUUUCAGAGAAAUAUUCGGCCAAAGAAAAAGGCCCGUGAAAGUCAUCGCGUUAGAUAUGGACACCCAGUGUUAUUCACUAACUGAUUAUGGGAGGUUUUAUCAUCCAAAGGCAUAAAAGCAAACGGGGGUGGGGUGGGGAAGGACUGUUAAACAAAACAACUUUAUCCAAAAAGAGGUUGGGAGAUGGGGUGCAGUUGUGAAAUCGAAAAAAAAAAAAAAGGUACUAACAGAAGGAGUUGGGUUGGCCAUUAUAUUGGAAUCGAUGGGUUUUUGUCUGACUUGGUCACUAAUACUGGGUGUGACCUUGGACAAAUAAUUUGGUUUCUUGGAACCUUAGUUUUCUCCUCCCUGGAACGAGAGUUUCAUUUAAAUCCCGAACGGUUUAGGUGAACCUUAUCAAAACGGUUUAAGCAGGAGAGAGAAACCAUGGUUUCAAGUUCGAAGUAUGGCACUGAAUAAAGGACUUUUGACAGUCAUUUUCAGUCUACCCUAAUUAGAGAUCAUGCAUCCACUCUAUGUAUUAUACUGGUGUAUUUUAAUGGUUAGUAGUUUGCCAUGUAUUUUAAGUGGUGUAAGAGAUCCUCGUUUGGAACCAUUGUGUCUCUUCAAAUAGGAAAUCAAAAGGCUCAAAGGGACAGAUCACUGGUAAGAAGCUGUCUAUAAAUUCCAUGACGUAUAAUGCUAGUAAGAAUUUAUACUCAAAGAGAUUUGAGACUGAUUAGGACAGUAAAUUAACCUGCAGUUUUCAACCUCGGAACAUGAUUAUAAUAACGUAGGUGGCAAGAUUUCUAAUAUACAGGAAAUUACCUAAUAAUUUUAAGAGGCAAAUCUCUUAAAUUGGUUUAAAUUUUAGGAGGCUAUGGAAGUGAUUUAAAAAUAGCACUACCAUGCUAAAAUGCAUUUUCUGGUAAAAUAGAUACUCUUGUACAACCUGAAUGUCAGAGGCACCAUUCUUGGUAUUCUGGGCUCUUGAGUGUUCUUUAGAAUUUAAUAUUUUGGCCUUUACAAAGUCACAUUUUUAGGAUGAGGCCUGGAAAUCUGUAUUAGGAACCUCCUCACCCACCACUCAUGAUUCUAAAGUAAUAUAAAACUGAGAGUCCCUGUACUAUAUUUUAAUCCAAGUACAUCACAACAUUUAAGUUAUACUAUUCCUAGCUAGAAAAAAGUAAAGGCAUAGAAUUCAUGGAUUAGCUAUUUCUAGAAAAGGGUUUAUUUCCCCCUACCUCUUGAAUCAACAUCCUUGACUUUAAGAAAAGAUAAUUGCAACCACAAUUCUAAUCCUUCUAAAGUGCCAAGGGAAGAAUGUUCACUUUGAAGAAAAACAUUUGUGGCAUGAAAUCAGGAUAUUUUGUCCAUUGCAUGUAACUGAGUUUAAGUUGAUGCUCAAAUUGAAAACUUGACAAUACUUCCCUAAUUAAUCAUUAUCAAAUGUGUUUUAUAAAUACAGUCUCCUAACUUAAGAAAGAGUUCUGGAAUUUUGAGUUAGGAAAUGAAAAUUUUAAAUCAUUUACUAGCUAAAUGAGUUUGGAAAGAUCACUUCAUUUUUUGGAGUUUGUUUCCUCAUCUAUGAAAUGGAUAGUAAUUCCUGUUUUCUCAGGGAUGGUAUAGGUGCAAAUGAGAUAACCUAUGAAAGUAUCAUUGUAAACUGUUGACAUCCAGAAGUUUAACUCAUCUAAAAGGAGUAAAUAAAAUCAUAUGGCAUUGUCUUAUGUGCACAGAAUAAGGGAAAUGCCAAAAUUGAA